Molecule: long non-coding RNA, 321 nt
Filed under: Mytilus galloprovincialis (Mediterranean mussel)
Lineage: Eukaryota; Metazoa; Mollusca; Bivalvia; Mytilida; Mytilidae
Source: RNAcentral
AAAAAAUAAGAACAUAGCGUGGACUUCCUCUGGAAAUAAACUAAAUAUCGUAUAAUAACUUAUUUAUACAAGAAACCCAAACAAUGAUUGAUACAAAUUAUAUAAAAGUAUAACUAAGAAUAUACAUGUAUGUACAUAAUUUUAAUAUUGUUGGCCCUGUUUGAUAUCAUAACAAGUAUUUCAUUUCUUUUUCCUUUGAUUAUAAAAAAUGGAAAACAACACGUUAAAUAAUUUAUUGCGUCCGAAACGCUGUUCUGGAUUUACCUUCAUCAGGUAAACUACAUAUAAACUAGGUAUACGUUGAAAAUCCUAGGAAAACUU